RNAcentral lists this long non-coding RNA (1752 nucleotides) under Homo sapiens (human). Its description in RNAcentral is "HSALNT0204280". The record is from RNAcentral. Lineage: Eukaryota; Metazoa; Chordata; Mammalia; Primates; Hominidae.
UAGCACUUUAUAAAAAGAGACACUAGAAAUCUUGCUCUCUCUUUCUCUCCAUCAUGUGAGGACAUGGUGAGAAGACAGCCAUCUGCAAGCCAGAAAGAGCGCUAACCAGAACGCAACCAUGUGGAUACCCCGAUCUCAUAGUCCCAGCCUCCAAAACUGUGGGCCUCUCCCAGAUGGCAACUUGUUUAUCAAAGCAUGAAAACCAAGAAGGUGAUAAAGAAAGUCUGCUAGCAAGACAUAAGUCACAAUCUUUUGUAAUCUAUUUAUGAAAGUGACAUCCCAUCAUCUUGACCACAAUCUAUUGAUUAGAAACAAGUACAGCUCACCCUCAACAAGAGGAGAUAAUAUCCAGGUGUGAAUUGCACAAGGACAGGAAAUAGAGGAAACCACAUAACUGAGCUCAAGUCCAAGACAGCUCAAUAAUAUCACACACAGAGUUCUCCCAUCUAUCCCAAGGAGAGAAUGCCAAUUUGUGAGGGUAUCUUCUCUUGGACCUAGAAUGAGAGAAUAAGGAACAGACUAAUCCAGUGGAAAAACUAUAUUCGACCCAAGGAUCUGUAUCCACACAGUUUGACAAUAAUUUACUUCUUUCUGGAAGCGAUGAGCACAGUGUAAUUCCUGAGAAAUUUUAAUAAUGAUAUUUUAAUUAUAAUUAAGUGAAACCUAGCAAAGUUGGCUGUAUCUGGAGGAACUCCACUGUGGGAAACAGAUUCUUAAGAUGGCUGAAGAUGGCUGUUUCGCUGCAUCAAUGUGUGACUUUCAAUAGAUGAUCGAAGAUGGCUGUUUGGCACUGUGUCUGAAUUAAGCCAGAAGGAAGGAGGAAGAAGAUGAAGAAAAGGCAUGCCUCUACCCCUUAGGACCACGUCUCUGAAGCUGUAUACAACAUUUCUGCUCUCAUAUAAUUGGGCAGAACUUAGUCAUAGAGCUACAUGUAGUUGCAAGGGAAGCUAUAUGCACUAAUGUGCUUAGUUAAACAUUGGGAUUCUCUUACUAAGGUACAUAAGGAGAACAUAUAUUUGGAGAGGCAACUAUCCAUCUCUGCCACAAGAUCUGAAACAAUUAUUGUGAGACUAUAAACAUAGAAAAAAGCUCCAGAGAUCAGGGGGAAGUCAGAAAUUAUUUGGGAUUCCAGUGAAUGGAAUGUUGACCAUAAAUGAGAAAUGAUGCUUGGGAUAAUUCCUAGCGAGCAUUGGCUUUUAGAGUUGGGAUUGAAGUCAACCAGCUAUAAAGAGCAAGACUGGGUGGGGUACUUUGAAAUGUCAUAUCAUUGUGUAUGGCUUUUGUGGUAGUUACUGCUUCUUUUUAGAAUAAUUCUCAUAACUAGGUAGAAAGCUCACCUUUGAAACUUCUGCAUGCCUAAUAAAAUGCUUCACUCACACCCAGUUGUUUUACUCAAGCGAGUAGUUUUAUGGUAACUGCAUUUGGGGUAACAGUCUUACAGAAGAGUUAACACAAUGGGCAGAUUCCAGGUGUGCUGUCAUUUGGAGGAGGCAAAUCCAUACAGACAAGAAGUAGAUUAGUGGUUGCCUAGAGCUGGAGGAGGGUAGGGAUAAGGAAUGGAUUACUACUGGGACUGGGUUUCUUUUUGGGGUGAUGAAAAUUUUCUAAAAUUGAUUGUGGUGAUGGUUGCCUAACUCUGUGAAUAGCAAUGAAUUGUGCUAUUGUACACUUUAGGUAAAUGGUAUGGUAUAUGAGUUAUAUCCCCAAUAAAGCUGUUAAAAAAGAAUGAGAAAGACCGAGUGACUUGCCAAG